UUUAUCUUGGCUGAGUGGUUAAAGCGUUGCACUCGAAAUGCAAUUCCCUUGGGAGCGUAGGUUCAAAUCCUGCAGAUAACG
This is a transfer RNA of 81 nucleotides. It matches the Rfam family "tRNA". Rfam says of the family: Transfer RNA (tRNA) molecules are approximately 80 nucleotides in length. Their secondary structure includes four short double-helical elements and three loops (D, anti-codon, and T loops). The record is from Rfam.